Non-coding RNA from Pseudonaja textilis, 92 nucleotides. Lineage: Eukaryota; Metazoa; Chordata; Lepidosauria; Squamata; Elapidae. The record is from RefSeq and is a predicted model, not a curated record.
UUGAGGGUUGAUAUUAAAUGAAAUGAAAUGGAGUGGAACAGAACAGAACAGAACACCUUAUCGGUCAAGCAUGAUUAGACACACACAGACUU